GACGAACGCUGGCGGCGUGCUUAACACAUGCAAGUCGAACGGAAAGGCCCUGCUUUUGUGGGGUGCUCGAGUGGCGAACGGGUGAGUAACACGUGUGUAACCUGCCCUUGACUUUGGGAUAACUUCAGGAAACUGGGGCUAAUACCGGAUAGGAGCUCCUGCUGCAUGGUGGGGGUUGGAAAGUUUCGGCGGUUGGGGAUGGACUCGCGGCUUAUCAGCUUGUUGGUGGGGUAGUGGCCUACCAAGGCUUUGACGGGUAGCCGGCCUGAGAGGGUGACCGGCCACAUUGGGACUGAGAUACGGCCCAGACUCCUACGGGAGGCAGCAGUGGGGAAUAUUGCACAAUGGGCGGAAGCCUGAUGCAGCAACGCCGCGUGCGGGAUGACGGCCUUCGGGUUGUAAACCGCUUUCGCCUGUGACGAAGCGUGAGUGACGGUAAUGGGUAAAGAAGCACCGGCUAACUACGUG
Molecule: ribosomal RNA, 468 nt
Filed under: uncultured bacterium
Lineage: Bacteria
Description: partial 16S ribosomal RNA
Rfam family: Bacterial small subunit ribosomal RNA
Source: RNAcentral